UCCGAGUUGACCCCGGCAGUCUCCCAUGAGUCCCCACCAUCACGUGCUGGCAACAUGGAACGAGGGUUGCGCUCGUUGCGGGACUUAACCCAACAUCUCACGACACGAGCUGACGACAACCAUGCACCACCUGUACACCGACCUUACGGGGCGACCAUCUCUGGCCGUUACCGGUGUAUGUCAAGCCUUGGUAAGGUUCUUCGCGUUGCAUCGAAUUAAUCCGCAUGCUCCGCCGCUUGUGCGGGCCCCCGUCAAUUCCUUUGAGUUUUAGCCUUGCGGCCGUACUCCCCAGGCGGGGCGCUUAAUGCGUUAGCUGCGGCGCAGAACCCGUGGAAUGGGCCCCACACCUAGCGCCCAACGUUUACGGCAUGGACUAC
This 377-nucleotide unclassified non-coding RNA is filed under the name uncultured Dermatophilaceae bacterium. RNAcentral describes it as "contains 16S-23S intergenic spacer region". The record is from RNAcentral. Lineage: Bacteria; Bacillati; Actinomycetota; Actinomycetes; Micrococcales; Dermatophilaceae.